This 1108-nucleotide ribosomal RNA is filed under the name Dothideomycetes sp. B1a0812SNA2CC479. RNAcentral's name for it is "eukaryotic LSU rRNA". The stretch from base 513 to 1108 matches the Rfam family "Eukaryotic large subunit ribosomal RNA", at positions 1 to 599 of the family's 3401-position model. The record is from RNAcentral. Lineage: Eukaryota; Fungi; Ascomycota; Dothideomycetes.
UUAUCCAUCUUACCAGGUGCGUUCGCGGCCCUCGAGGGUUCUCUCUCGGGUGGUAGGGGUAACACCCUCACGCGUCGCAUUUCUGAAUCCUUUUUUUACGAGCACCUUUCGUUCUCCUUCGGUGGGGCAACCUGCCGCUGGAACUUAACAAAACCUUUUUUUGCAUCUAGCAUUACCUGUUCUGAUACAAACAAUCGUUACAACUUUCAACAAUGGAUCUCUUGGCUCUGGCAUCGAUGAAGAACGCAGCGAAAUGCGAUAAGUAGUGUGAAUUGCAGAAUUCAGUGAAUCAUCGAAUCUUUGAACGCACAUUGCGCCCCUUGGUAUUCCAUGGGGCAUGCCUGUUCGAGCGUCAUCUACACCCUCAAGCUCUGCUUGGUGUUGGGCGUCUGUCCCGCCUCUGUGCGUGGACUCGCCCCAAAUGCAUUGGCAGCGGUCCUUGCCUCCUCUCGCGCAGCACAAUUGCGUUUCUUGAGGUGUGCGGCUCGCAUCCACAAAGCAACCAUCGUCUUUGACCUCGGAUCAGGUAGGGAUACCCGCUGAACUUAAGCAUAUCAAUAAGCGGAGGAAAAGAAACCAACAGGGAUUGCCCUAGUAACGGCGAGUGAAGCGGCAACAGCUCAAAUUUGAAAUCUGGCUCUCUUUGGGGGUCCGAGUUGUAAUUUGCAGAGGAUGCUUUGGUAUUGUCGGCGGUCUAAGUUCCUUGGAACAGGACAUCACAGAGGGUGAGAAUCCCGUACGUGGUCGCCUGCCUUUACCGUGUAAAGCUCCUUCGACGAGUCGAGUUGUUUGGGAAUGCAGCUCUAAAUGGGAGGUAAAUUUCUUCUAAAGCUAAAUACCGGCCAGAGACCGAUAGCGCACAAGUAGAGUGAUCGAAAGAUGAAAAGUACUUUGGAAAGAGAGUCAAAAAGCACGUGAAAUUGUUGAAAGGGAAGCGCUUGCAGCCAGACUUGCCCGCAGUUGCUCACCUAGGCUUUUGCCUGGGGCAUUCUUCUGCGGGCAGGCCAGCAUCAGUUUGGGCGGUUGGAUAAAGGCCUCUGUCACGUAUCUCCCUUCGGGGUGACCUUAUAGGGGAGGCGUAAUGCAACCAGCCCGGACUGAGGUCCGC